AUUGUUAAUGGUACGGUUAUUGGCGUGGUCGGUGCACUUAGUGUAGCGUCAAUAAUUGUUCUGAUUUUGUUACUGAGGAGAAAUCUGAGGAAAAAUCCAAAAAUCGUUGAUUAUAACGUCAAAAAAGACUUUAAUGCGAAAACAACGUAUCAAAAUACAGAGUUGACAUCUUUCAGAACAAGGAACUUUUAAAGAAAUAUCCACUGAUGAUAAAUAGCAUUAUAUAAAUGAGAUAAUUAUAAACAAUAUGCUAGAAGUAAAACGUGUUUGUUAGUAAAUUAGUUUUAAAAUAAAUUGAUACAAAAUCUCAUAGACUUCUCUUAAAUAUAAAAGAUAAAACCAGCCUCACAGAUCAAAGUUGACUCAAUUACUCAGAUGCGAUGACUAAUUCCAUUUUGUUAUUGUUCUCUGUCGUCUUUCGUCGAUUCCAAAGCGCAAUUCAUUCACUCGGUAACUAGCAGUUUAACUUCAAGUACAUCCAUCGUGUGAAAGAACUUUGAAUAUACAUUUAUAAUCCAAAUAACAAACAGGCAAUACCAAUUACUCUGUAAUAAAUUUUUUUUUUAUAAAACAGUCCACCAACCGUCAAGUAGUAUAUAUACAUCAACUCUAACAAAAGAUUUUCCAGUUUCUGAUAAUCAUGUCUCCAGUCAUCGAAUUUCUUUUACAUUUAUCAGAAAAUGACUUAUAAAAACCACAUCUUUCAGAUAUAUAUUGGUGGUACUUAAUUGAAGUUCUUUAUUUGUUUCAAGAUUGCUAUAUAUUAAAAAGCUGACGUCAUUCUGAUAAUUUUAUGAUAAAUACAAAAUAAUUGAAGAAUUGUUAUGUAUUGUUAGGAAUACAAUAUCGUUAUCAUCGAUUUGUGUUUUUAUUUAUUGAAGGGAAGGAUUCUUUUUACAAAAAUAAGUUUUACUAUAGCAUGGAUUUUAAUUAUGUCGAUGAUAGUUGGAAAUUCACAAGUCAUAGGAUGGUCGGAGUUCUGUAUUUUUGUUAUUUUACUUUUUACCGUAUUAAUUUUCAAC
Long non-coding RNA from Mytilus trossulus (common blue mussel), 1022 nucleotides. RefSeq lists it as uncharacterized. NCBI's taxonomy places the organism in Eukaryota, Metazoa, Mollusca, Bivalvia, Mytilida, Mytilidae. The transcript has 3 exons. The record is from RefSeq and is a predicted model, not a curated record.